RNAcentral lists this ribosomal RNA (492 nucleotides) under uncultured bacterium. RNAcentral's name for it is "partial 16S ribosomal RNA". It matches the Rfam family "Bacterial small subunit ribosomal RNA", at positions 29 to 507 of the family's 1533-position model. The record is from RNAcentral.
AGUGAACGCUGGCGGUAGGCCUAACACAUGCAAGUCGAACGGCAGCACAGUAAGCGCUUGCUCUUACGGGUGGCGAGUGGCGGACGGGUGAGACAUACAUCGGAAUCUACUUUUACGUGGGGGACUACGUGGGGCCGCUUACGCUAAUACCGAAUAUGUCCUACGGGAGAAUGCAGGAGUUAUUGACGCUUUUGCUGUCACAAUGAGACGAUGUCGCAUUAGCUAGUUGGCGAGGUAAGGGCCCACCAAGGCGACGAUCCGUAGCUGGUCUGAGAGGAUGAUCAGCCACACUGGAACUGAGACACGGUCCAGACUCCUACGGGAGGCAGCAGUGGGGAAUAUUGGACAAUGGGCGCAAGCCUGAUCCAGCCAUACCGCGUGAGUGAUGAAGGCCUUCGGGUUGUAAAGCCCUUUUAUUGGGAAAGAAAAGCAGCAGGUGAAUACCCCGCUGUUCUGACGGUACCUAAAGAAUAAGCACCGGCUAACUUCGUG